AUGAAAUAGACACUUGGCCGUCCGUUGGACUAUUCGGACGGAGUUGACUUAUUUUGGACUGGAUUUUUACUAUUUUCUGACUCUGCUUACUGCCUAAUGUGGAUAUACUAAACCCCCUGUGUUGAGACGCUUGCAUUAUCCGGUGACGUCACCUUGCCACACUCGGUAGGACAGAGUUAUUGAAGGAACCUCGCUUUUAAGAAGACUGGGAUGGUUUAGCGACUGAUUUUGUUUUCGCUACAAAGAUUUCCACCUGGUUAGAAUGCCUGAUAGGAACAAUGGCCAAGAACAAGCUCUGAGGAGUGCCAUCACCAAGGCCCAAGAAGACCUGAUUGCAGAGCCCGAUACACCCUCGUACAUCCUCAAGACAGUCAGACAACAGGAUUUUUAAGCUUGACAUUUCUUCAGUUUUGUUUUAAGUGGAAGAGAAAUUUGAGAAGUUGACCCGUGAGUUGGAUCAGGAGAAUCGUAACGUCAUCAAUCAGUUUGAGAGAAGUCAACAGGAAUCGG
Asterias rubens (European starfish) is the source of this 510-nucleotide long non-coding RNA. RefSeq lists it as uncharacterized. The record is from RefSeq and is a predicted model, not a curated record. Lineage: Eukaryota; Metazoa; Echinodermata; Asteroidea; Forcipulatida; Asteriidae. The transcript is spliced from 5 exons.